This 415-nucleotide long non-coding RNA is filed under the name Dermacentor andersoni. RNAcentral's name for it is "uncharacterized LOC126535689". The record is from RNAcentral. Lineage: Eukaryota; Metazoa; Arthropoda; Arachnida; Ixodida; Ixodidae.
AGCGCAUCUUGUACAUCACACUAAUAUGUGCUUUAAUUUACCAAGUGAGAUUAGUUACUUUUAUGGCUCAUUCAGUCAUAUCACACUGCAAGCUGCAUUCAUCAAUCUUCCGUUGGAUUUUGCAAAUGUUUAAUGAAACAUGUUUCUCUUUUAUGCAGAUAUGCAAUGGCAAGCCCUUCCGUGUGCUCCACAGAGAAUGCCUACGCCUAGCCACAGCAGCUCCCUCAUACAGACUCCGCAAGCCAAGAGGCCGUGGAGGCAAAUGCAGGCAGCCAGCACACCUCGAACAGCCACCUUGGCUGCGGGUGUGUCACCCUAGUCGCCAAGGAAACAUUUGAGGGAAAGCGACAGGCAAUGUGAGCAGCCACUUCUCCAUGUAAACAAUACUCUUUCUCUCGGAUGACUCCUACGCCUC